GAUGAACGCUGGCGGCGUGCCUAAUACAUGCAAGUCGAGCGAACAGACGAUGAGCUUGCUCCUCUGACGUUAGCGGCAGACGGGUGAGUAACACGUGUAUAACCUACCUAUAAGACUGGUAUCACUUCGGGAAACCGGAUCUAAUACCGUAUAAUAUAUUGAACCGCAUGGUUCAAUAGUGAAAUACGGUGUUGCUGUCACUUAUAGAGGGAUCCGCGCCGCAUUAGCUAGUUGGUAAGGUAACGGCUUACCAAGGCAACGAUGCGUAGCCGAACGGAGAGGGGGAUAGGCCACCCUGGAACGGAGACAGGGACAAGACGACUGAGGGAGGCAGCAGUAGGGAAUGGUACGCAAUGGGCGAAAGCUUGACGGAGCAAGGCCGAGUGAGUGACGACGGUCUCCGGAUCGUAAAACCCUGUUAUUAGGGAAGAACCACUGUGUACGUAAACAUACAGGUAUUGACGGUACCUAAUAAGAAAGCAACGGCUAACUACGUG
RNAcentral lists this ribosomal RNA (497 nucleotides) under uncultured bacterium. Its description in RNAcentral is "partial 16S ribosomal RNA". It matches the Rfam family "Bacterial small subunit ribosomal RNA", at positions 28 to 507 of the family's 1533-position model. The record is from RNAcentral.